This 617-nucleotide long non-coding RNA is filed under the name Theobroma cacao (cacao). Its description in RNAcentral is "long non-coding RNA (TCAC_LNC005701)". Lineage: Eukaryota; Viridiplantae; Streptophyta; Magnoliopsida; Malvales; Malvaceae. The record is from RNAcentral.
AGGUUUUACAAGCACAGUACAUUUCCUUUCUACUGAGAAUGGAAUGUUGCAAUUGGCUGCCAUGGUAAAAAAAUGAAGUUAUCAAAGUCUAAGGUGAGAGUUGAAACUUGAAAUUACGAAAGGGUAAUGCCUUACUGAUUAUAUAGUAUUUUUAUUAGAACUUUACCCCAAUAUUGUACCAAUAUGGCUUUAUUCUUAAUGCAUAUACAUCCGAAGAAGGUGGGUAGGUAUUGCUUUGGCUCAACCCACUACGGAGCAACUUUACAAUCAACUCUAUGAAGAGUUGACUUCAUGGUGCCAACUGCCAAGUGCCAAGCAUGAGGGAUGGCAAAUUGGCAAAUAAGCAACACUCUAGAGUCUGGGGGACCAUAUUCUUGAAGGAAAAAAUGAUAACUACCUAACCUAAUCUUGCUGGUUUGGGGCUUGACAUAACAAGUUGGCAACUCGCUGGACUGGAGUUCAAGCUUAUCAAAAAGAGCUUGGGAGUUAGGGCCCUGCGGCUGUCUAUCACCCUUAAAGAUUGCCUAGAAAUCUAAGUGCGAGCUAUAAUUGGAGGCGCGCCUAACCCAAAACCACCAUAACAUGGCUCUUCAUGAGGGGGAAACAGCUUUUAAGCA